RNAcentral lists this long non-coding RNA (1870 nucleotides) under Fragaria vesca (wild strawberry). RNAcentral's name for it is "long non-coding RNA (FVES_LNC003172)". The record is from RNAcentral. Lineage: Eukaryota; Viridiplantae; Streptophyta; Magnoliopsida; Rosales; Rosaceae.
GCGCCAAUGCCAUAAUUCAUAUUCAAACGGAGAAAAAUCAACUUAGAUGUGUAGUAAACUUUUACUGGGGGUAGUAACCUUGCAAAACAGUAGCUCCAAUGCCAUUAUACAUACUAAAACAGAGGAAGAACAAUUUAAAUUCGAAAAACUAAAGUUUACUACCUCCAUUAAACUUUUACUGGGGGUAGUAAACUUACAAAACAAUAUUUUCAAGGCCAUAAUACAAACUAAAACAGAGGAAGAACAACUUAGAUGCAAAAAAUAAAGUUUACUACCUCCAUUAAACUUUUACUGGGGGUAGUAAACUUGCAAUCUAUUAUCUCCAGAGAAAAAUCAACACACAAGCAAAUAAUAGAAAAUUACUACCCCUAGUAAUUUUUAUAUUUUGAAAAUUACUACCCCUAGAAAAUUACUACCCCUAGAAAAUCAACACAUAAGGUUCAAAUCCGUCGUAGCAGAUCGGCUCGGCCUUGUUCGCCAGCAACUUCUUGAGCUCCUCAUCUUGGACACACUCCUCAAGAUAUCGUACUUCUCAACCAAGCUCAGCCUUCAUCGUAAACAUAGUUUCGAAGUCAGUUCAAAUUAGUAAGAGCAAAUGCAGAAGAGGAAGAGAGAGAGAAAGCGGCGGAGACUUACGGGACGGAUGGAGUAGCGGAUGAGCUAGAGGGCUGAGAUUCGGCGACGACCGACGGCGGUUUGACCUCGUCGGAGAUCGACAUGGAUUUGACUUCGUCGGCGGCGAGUUGCUCUGGUGCUUCGGUUGCGGGGAUUAGGCAGAGGAGAGGAUAAGCUCGUCGGAGAUGGUGGAGGCGAGGAUGAGGUCGCCGGCGACGGAUCUGUGAGUGAGAGUUAGAGAGAGUGAGAGGUUUGCAGAUCCUUCGUUAGAGAGUCAUCGAUGUCAAGGCAUUGGUCGGUGUCGGUGAGGCUUUGAUCGGCAUUGGCUUGCUUCGGCGAGGCAUGGCUGGCUUCAGAUCUCGUGGAGGAUGUGAGAGAGAGAGAGAGAGAGAGAGAGAGAGAGAGAGAGAGAGAGAGAGAGAGAGAGAGAGAGAGAGAGAGAGAGAGAGAGAGAGAGAGAGAGAGAGUAGAGAGUAGAGAGUAGAGAGAGAGAGUAGNNNNNNNNNNNNNNNNNNNNGAGAGAGAGAGAGAGAGAGGCCCGGUCGUCGAGGAAGAUGGUGACGGUGUAGUGCCGAUGCUCCUUGCUCGAGGGCGUCGGUGGCGACGCUGUCUUCCACCAUGGAAGUUCGUCGAGGUGAGAGAGAGGAAGAGAGAGGAGAGAUGAGAGAUGAGAGAUGAGUGAGAAGUGAUCAGGAAAGAAGAUAAGAAAGGAGUGGUGGGAAUAGAACGGUGGGUAUAAAUGUCUUUUCCUUAUGAAUAAUUGAGAUGGGCAUUGGGAAAAGAUUAUCAUUGAUGUGGGCAAUAAAUCUUUAAAAUUAGUAUAUUAAGGCAUUUACUCUUCAUUGAUUGAUAUACUUCAUUAAGUUUAGCGCAUAUGUACGAUUAAUGUUCUUAAUACAACAUAAGAAAAAAAAGGUUACAAAAAGGGGUAAAUUUGGAGACAUGAAACCACAUCAACAUGUUUAGAUGAAAUUUUUACUAACCUGUGUUUGACACAAGUUUGUCGAUUCCUACACUAUUCUUAAGCAACAAGAACUAUCCAUACAGAUUGCAACGAAGCGAGUAUGAGGAGAUAUUAAACAACAAUACUUCUUCACGUAACAAUAUGUCAAUCUGAUGCAACAGUUAUCUCCUAUGUAUGCUGCAGUUGAUAAAAACAAGAGCUUCCCAGCAAAAAUAUAAGACCGAUGAGAGGAAGAGGAAGAUCAUAGCUACCAGCCAACCAAGACCAUUUCAAUCUUUGAAAGAAAAACAC